GAUGAACGCUGGCGGCGUGCCUAAUACAUGCAAGUCGAGCGAACAGACGAGGAGCUUGCUCCUUUGACGUUAGCGGCGGACGGGUGAGUAACACGUGGGUAACCUACCUAUAAGACUGGGAUAACUUCGGGAAACCGGAGCUAAUACCGGAUAAUAUUUCGAACCGCAUGGUUCGAUAGUGAAAGAUGGCUUUGCUAUCACUUAUAGAUGGACCUGCGCCGUAUUAGCUAGUUGGUAAGGUAACGGCUUACCAAGGCAACGAUACGUAGCCGACCUGAGAGGGUGAUCGGCCACACUGGAACUGAGACACGGUCCAGACUCCUACGGGAGGCAGCAGUAGGGAAUCUUCCGCAAUGGGCGAAAGCCUGACGGAGCAACGCCGCGUGAGUGAUGAAGGUCUUCGGAUCGUAAAACUCUGUUAUUAGGGAAGAACAAACGUGUAAGUAACUGUGCACGUCUUGACGGUACCUAAUCAGAAAGCCACGGCUAACUACGUGCCAGCAGCCGCGGUAAUACGUAGGUGGCAAGCGUUAUCCGGAAUUAUUGGGCGUAAAGCGCGCGUAGGCGGUUUUUUAAGUCUGAUGCGAAAGCCCACGGCUCAACCGUGGAGGGUCAUUGGAAACUGGAAAACUUGAGUGCAGAAGAGGAAAGUGGAAUUCCAUGUGUAGCGGUGAAAUGCGCAGAGAUAUGGAGGAACACCAGUGGCGAAGGCGACUUUCUGGUCUGUAACUGACGCUGAUGUGCGAAAGCGUGGGGAUCAAACAGGAUUAGAUACCCUGGUAGUCCACGCCGUAAACGAUGAGUGCUAAGUGUUAGGGGGUUUCCGCCCCUUAGUGCUGCAGCUAACGCAUUAAGCACUCCGCCUGGGGAGUACGACCGCAAGGUUGAAACUCAAAGGAAUUGACGGGGACCCGCACAAGCGGUGGAGCAUGUGGUUUAAUUCGAAGCAACGCGAAGAACCUUACCAAAUCUUGACAUCCUUUGCUCCUUCUAGAGAUAGAAGUUUCCCCUUCGGGGGACAAAGUGACAGGUGGUGCAUGGUUGUCGUCAGCUCGUGUCGUGAGAUGCUGGGUUAAGUCCCGCAACGAGCGCAACCCUUAAGCUUAGUUGCCAUCAUUAAGUUGGGCACUCUAAGUUGACUGCCGGUGACAAACCGGAGGAAGGUGGGGAUGACGUCAAAUCAUCAUGCCCCUUAUGAUUUGGGCUACACACGUGCUACAAUGGACAAUACAAAGGGCAGCGAAACCGCGAGGUCAAGCAAAUCCCAUAAAGUUGUUCUCAGUUCGGAUUGUAGUCUGCAACUCGACUACAUGAAGCUGGAAUCGCUAGUAAUCGUAGAUCAGCAUGCUACGGUGAAUACGUUCCCGGGUCU
This 1372-nucleotide ribosomal RNA is filed under the name uncultured bacterium. Its description in RNAcentral is "bacterial SSU rRNA". It matches the Rfam family "Bacterial small subunit ribosomal RNA", at positions 28 to 1381 of the family's 1533-position model. The record is from RNAcentral.